This 441-nucleotide ribosomal RNA is filed under the name uncultured bacterium. RNAcentral's name for it is "partial 16S ribosomal RNA". It matches the Rfam family "Bacterial small subunit ribosomal RNA", at positions 338 to 795 of the family's 1533-position model. The record is from RNAcentral.
CCUACGGGAGGCAGCAGUGGGGAAUAUUGCACAAUGGGGGAAACCCUGAUGCAGCGACGCCGCGUGAGUGAAGAAGUAUUUCGGUAUGUAAAGCUCUAUCAGCAGGGAAGAAGAAAGACGGUACUUGACUAAGAAGCCCCGGCUAACUACGUGCCAGCAGCCGCGGUAAUACGUAGGGGGCAAGCGUUAUCCGGAUUUAUGGGGCGUAAAGGGAGCGUAGACGGGUGUGCAAGUCUGAAGUGAAAGCCUAGGGCUCAACCCUGGGAGUGCUUUGGAAACUGUGGAGCUAGAGUGCUGGAGAGGUAAGUGGAAUUCCUAGUGUAGCGGUGAAAUGCGUAGAUAUUAGGAGGAACACCAGUGGCGAAGGCGGCUUACUGGACAGUAACUGACGUUGAGGCUCGAAAGCGUGGGGAGCAAACAGGAUUAGAUACCCCAGUAGUC